GAUCAUGGCUCAGAUGAACGCUGGCGGCAGGCCUAACACAUGCAAGUCGAACGGUAACAGGAAACAGCUUGCUGUUCGCUGACGAGUGGCGGACGGGUGAGUAAUGUCUGGGAAACUGCCUGAUGGAGGGGGAUAACUACUGGAAACGGUAGCUAAUACCGCAUAACGUCGCAAGACCAAAGAGGGGGACCCUCGGGCCUCUUGCCAUCGGAUGUGCCCAGAUGGGAUUAGCUUGUUGGUGGGGUAACGGCUCACCAAGGCGACGAUCCCUAGCUGGUCUGAGAGGAUGACCAGCCACACUGGAACUGAGACACGGUCCAGACUCCUACGGGAGGCAGCAGUGGGGAAUAUUGCACAAUGGGCGCAAGCCUGAUGCAGCCAUGCCGCGUGUAUGAAGAAGGCCUUCGGGUUGUAAAGUACUUUCAGCGGGGAGGAAGGGAGUAAAGUUAAUACCUUUGCUCAUUGACGUUACCCGCAGAAGAAGCACCGGCUAACUCCGUG
This 501-nucleotide ribosomal RNA is filed under the name uncultured bacterium. Its description in RNAcentral is "bacterial SSU rRNA". It matches the Rfam family "Bacterial small subunit ribosomal RNA", at positions 15 to 507 of the family's 1533-position model. The record is from RNAcentral.